GCGUAGAGUCGCAAGGAGUAGACCCGAAACCAGGUGAGCUAGCCAUGGCCAGGGUGAAGCGGGGGUAAUGCCUCGUGGAGGCCCGAACUGGUGUAUGUUACAAAAUGCUCGGAUGAGCUGUGGCUAGGGGUGAAAUGCCAAACGAACUUGGAGAUAGCUGGUUCUCGCCGAAAUAAUUUUAGGAUUAGCGUCUCACCGUUUAAUCCCGGAGGUAAAGCACUGAUUGAGGUAGGGGCCUACCCGGCUACCGAACUCAUUCAAACUCUGAAUACCGGGAUUCCAAGGGGGGCAGUCGGACUACGGGAGAUGAGUUUCGUGGUCGAGAGGGAAAGAACCCAGACCGUCAGCUAAGGUCCUGAAGUGGUGACUAAGUGGGAAAGGAUGUGGAGUUACUGAGACAGCCAGGAGGUUGGCUUAGAAGCAGCCAUCCUUGAAAGAGUGCGUAAUAGCUCACUGGUCUAGUGAUUCUGCGCCG
RNAcentral lists this ribosomal RNA (475 nucleotides) under uncultured bacterium. RNAcentral's name for it is "bacterial LSU rRNA". It matches the Rfam family "Bacterial large subunit ribosomal RNA", at positions 692 to 1166 of the family's 2925-position model. The record is from RNAcentral.